UACGUAGGGCGCAAGCGUUGCCCGGGAUUAUUGGGCGUAAAGAGCUCGUAGGCGGCUUGUCACGUCGGGUGUGAAAGCCCGGGGCUUAACCCCGGGUCUGCAUUCGAUACGGGCUAGCUAGAGUGUGGUAGGGGAGAUCGGAAUUCCUGGUGUAGCGGUGAAAUGCGCAGAUAUCAGGAGGAACACCGGUGGCGAAGGCGGAUCUCUGGGCCAUUACUGACGCUGAGGAGCGAAAGCGUGGGGAGCGAACAGG
Molecule: ribosomal RNA, 253 nt
Filed under: uncultured bacterium
Lineage: Bacteria
Description: partial 16S ribosomal RNA
Rfam family: Bacterial small subunit ribosomal RNA
Source: RNAcentral